GAUGAACGCUGGCGGCGUGCCUAAUACAUGCAAGUCGAGCGAACAGACGAGGAGCUUGCUCCUCUGACGUUAGCGGCGGACGGGUGAGUAACACGUGUAUAACCUACCUAUAAGACUGGGAUAACUUCGGGAAACCGGAUCUAAUACCGUAUAAUAUAUUGAACCGCAUGGUUCAAUAGUAAAAUACGGUUUUUCUGUCACUUAUAGAUGGAUCCGCGCCGCAUGAGCUAGUUGGUAAGGUAACAGCUUACCAAGGCAACGAUGCGUAUCCGACCGGAGAGGGGGGUAGGCCACCCUGGAACUGGGACACGGUCAAGACUCCUGAGGGAGGCAGCAGUAGGGAACGUGCCGCAAUAGGCGAGAGCAUGACGGAGCAACGGCGAGUGAGUGAUGACGGCCUUCGGAGCGUAAAACUCUGUUAUUAGGGAAGAACAACUGUGUAAGUAGCUAUGCACGUCUUGACGGUACCUAAUCAGAAAGCAACGGCUAACUACGUG
This 497-nucleotide ribosomal RNA is filed under the name uncultured bacterium. RNAcentral describes it as "partial 16S ribosomal RNA". It matches the Rfam family "Bacterial small subunit ribosomal RNA", at positions 28 to 507 of the family's 1533-position model. The record is from RNAcentral.